CUCCGUGUAACAGGCAAUGCGCCUUUUCAGCUCUUAUGGUGUUGAUAAUGGGUCCUCAUUAGGCAUUACCGCAUCACCCCUCCAAGGUCCACAUCCGUCCCUGCCAAGUGGGAUGUUGCCAGUUGGUGGUUAACCGUACUGUCGGGCGAGAUUUGGAUUGAAGCCUGUGAAAACGUAAAGCACAGCUCGCCUUUGCAGAUUAUAAUGAGUUCUUGGAUAAAGUACUGGCUGUGUAGAAUGAUGAGAGUGUUAAUCUGAGGGCCUCAAGAUGGGUGUACCCUCAAUGGCGAAUUGCUUAUGGCCAAGGUAGAUUGUACUUAUGCGAUGCGGAGCCAUACCACAAUCACUGUGACGAUGCCUUCUGCCCAAGAG
RNAcentral lists this long non-coding RNA (372 nucleotides) under Volvox carteri. RNAcentral describes it as "long non-coding RNA (VCAR_LNC002144)". The record is from RNAcentral. Lineage: Eukaryota; Viridiplantae; Chlorophyta; Chlorophyceae; Chlamydomonadales; Volvocaceae.